GGGUUUCACAAAAUUUGCUCUGGGCGUUCUUCUCUGCCGACCAUCAAACCUCUUCAAAUUAAUUCUCAAAUCAAGGGUUUCUCCAUCAUCGAUCAUUCAUCUGUCUUGAUAAUCAAAUGUUUCAUUACCAUGGUUCAUAUCGCAAUUCGCAAGCAAGAAGAUGUUCAUUGUUCCAGAUUUGUUUAUGUAUUUCAUGAUGAUGAUGAAGGUUGAUGAUUUGAUUUGUAUUCUGUUGCCUCUGGCAAGCUGAAACAGGCUGGUGAACUAAAGAGGGAGGAUUUGAAAGGCUGGUGACAAGAUAAGGUUACAUGCCACCCGAGUCACUCAGACUUUUACCGGCAGUUACUCACUACGCUCAGGUUACACUGUCGGCGGUUUGGCUGGCGAUUCCUGGCAAGUAGGGGUUUCGGUGUGGGUUUGCGGAUGAAAAGUGAAUGUGAAUUACUUUUUCAAUG
RNAcentral lists this long non-coding RNA (455 nucleotides) under Helianthus annuus (common sunflower). Its description in RNAcentral is "sRNA HanXRQr2_Chr17g0804231". The record is from RNAcentral. Lineage: Eukaryota; Viridiplantae; Streptophyta; Magnoliopsida; Asterales; Asteraceae.